This 492-nucleotide ribosomal RNA is filed under the name uncultured bacterium. Its description in RNAcentral is "partial 16S ribosomal RNA". It matches the Rfam family "Bacterial small subunit ribosomal RNA", at positions 29 to 507 of the family's 1533-position model. The record is from RNAcentral.
AGUGAACGCUGGCGGUAGGCCUAACACAUGCAAGUCGAACGGCAGCACAGUAAGAGCUUGCUCUUACGGGUGGCGAGUGGCGGACGGGUGAGGAAUACAUCGGAAUCUACUUUUUCGUGGGGGAUAACGUAGGGAAACUUACUCUAAUACCGCAUACGACCUACGGGUGAAAGCAGGGGAUCUUCGGACCUUGCGCGAUUGAAUGAGCCGAUGUCGGAUUAGCUAGUUGGCGGGGUAAAGGCCCACCAAGGCGACGAUCCGUAGCUGGUCUGAGAGGAUGAUCAGCCACACUGGAACUGAGCCACGGUCCAGACUCCUACGGGAGGCAGCAGUGGGGAAUAUUGGACAAUGGGCGCAAGCCUGAUCCAGCCAUACCGCGUGGGUGAAGAAGGCCUUCGGGUUGUAAAGCCCUUUUGUUGGGAAAGAAAAGCAGCAGGUUAAUACCCCGCUGUUCUGACGGUACCCAAAGAAUAAGCACCGGCUAACUUCGUG